Molecule: ribosomal RNA, 253 nt
Filed under: uncultured bacterium
Lineage: Bacteria
Description: partial 16S ribosomal RNA
Rfam family: Bacterial small subunit ribosomal RNA
Source: RNAcentral
UACGAAGGGGGCUAGCGUUGUUCGGAAUUACUGGGCGUAAAGCGCACGUAGGCGGAUUUGUUAGUCAGGGGUGAAAUCCCGGGGCUCAACCUCGGAACUGCCUUUGAUACUGCAAAUCUCGAGUCCGGAAGAGGUGAGUGGAAUUCCUAGUGUAGAGGUGAAAUUCGUAGAUAUUAGGAAGAACACCAGUGGCGAAGGCGGCUCAGUGUCACGGCACUGACGCUGAGGUGCGAAAGCGUGGGGAGCAAACAGG